GUAACGGUGGCUACACUCUUGUUAAAUCUCACGCUUAGAUCUGUGUGCCCAAAGUUGUGUCGCAGUUUCAUCAACACCAGGAGAAUUUGGUCCUCUAAUGUCAUCGUUGUGACCUUGAAGGAGAAGAGUGAUGGGGUCUGGUAUCAUCAGGCAAGUUGAUCCGCUUCCCUUCAUUCCAUGGAAACCUCACUGGACCUGCUUUUUUGCCAUUAGGGAAGUGCCACGAA
Molecule: long non-coding RNA, 227 nt
Organism: Amphibalanus amphitrite
Lineage: Eukaryota; Metazoa; Arthropoda; Thecostraca; Balanomorpha; Balanidae
Exons: 2
Source: RefSeq, a predicted model, not a curated record